UACAGAGGUCUCAAGCGUUGUUCGGAUUCAUUGGGCGUAAAGGGUGCGUAGGUGGUGAGUUAAGUCUGUCGUGAAAGCCCCGGGCUCAACCUGGGAAUGGCGAUGGAUACUGGCUCGCUAGAGUGCGGUAGAGGAGAGUGGAAUUCCCGGUGUAGCAGUGAAAUGCGUAGAGAUCGGGAGGAACAUCAGUUGCGAAGGCGGCUCUCUGGACCAGCACUGACACUGAGGCACGAAAGCGUGGGGAGCAAACAGG
RNAcentral lists this ribosomal RNA (253 nucleotides) under uncultured bacterium. RNAcentral describes it as "partial 16S ribosomal RNA". It matches the Rfam family "Bacterial small subunit ribosomal RNA", at positions 524 to 776 of the family's 1533-position model. The record is from RNAcentral.